UGAAGUUCAUUUAUACGAAAUGCUUUGCGAUAAAAGCAUGCCAUAAAUACGUUGGUGUGUUAUUGCGGAUCGCAAGUUGUUGGGCAAGUGGACGGAUACCGAAACAGUCAGCAGUUUGCAUUUGAUGCGAUGAGAAUAAAAAAUAUAAUAGGCUUUUGCCUUAUUUUCGUGAUUGCUGGGGUAGUUGGAGGUACAAUCAGCGAGACCUCAACCCCAUCAAAUGGAGGUUCGCCAUCAACUUCGCCGCUUACAGCGAGAACCCCGCAUGUAGGGGGCAAUAGAACCGGACCUGUUACGUUCCCAACCGCUGCCCCACCUCUUCAGAACGGCACGAUAGCAGAAAUACUUUAAUAUGUACCGAACCCGACCAUUGGAAAAGAAUAAAAUGUAAUCAAUAGAUUCCCGGUGUAUAGUGCCAACAUAACACCGUACCCCUAACAGAAAUUGUGUUAAAUUAGCUUCAGCUAGAGUAAGCAUAGAGCCAGUAAAAUGUUUUCAAGAUUUUAAAGUCAAACGGAAACCUAUUUAGAAUUCAUAGGUCGUUAAAACGCUUCAGCAGAGCUUCCAGUUGAAAUCAUCGUAACUUGGCAGAAAAUGGACAAGUGGUGCUAAUGGGUAAAUAAUAAAACUAACACAUAUUUGCCAAUAGAGCACUUGGAUUAUUACUUCUCUCUGUGAAAGUAAAGACUUCAGAAAAAUAA
Cylas formicarius (sweet potato weevil) is the source of this 701-nucleotide long non-coding RNA. RefSeq lists it as uncharacterized. The record is from RefSeq and is a predicted model, not a curated record. The transcript has 6 exons. NCBI's taxonomy places the organism in Eukaryota, Metazoa, Arthropoda, Insecta, Coleoptera, Brentidae.